UACGAAGGGUGCAAGCGUUAAUCGGAAUUACUGGGCGUAAAGGGUGCGUAGGCGGUUGUUUAAGUCUGUCGUGAAAUCCCCGGGCUCAACCUGGGAAUGGCGAUGGAUACUGGACAGCUAGAGUGUGUCAGAGGAUGGUGGAAUUCCCGGUGUAGCGGUGAAAUGCGUAGAGAUCGGGAGGAACAUCAGUGGCGAAGGCGGCCAUCUGGGACAACACUGACGCUGAGGCGCGAAAGCUAGGGGAGCAAACGGG
This 253-nucleotide ribosomal RNA is filed under the name uncultured bacterium. Its description in RNAcentral is "partial 16S ribosomal RNA". It matches the Rfam family "Bacterial small subunit ribosomal RNA", at positions 524 to 776 of the family's 1533-position model. The record is from RNAcentral.